GCGGACCUCAUCAACACCAGGGGCUCCGCCACCAAGGAGUUGUUUACAGGGUGAUUUUGCAUCUAAACAAAAAUAAAUAAAGUACAAAUACAUGAAAAUUCUACUGAAGUACUUCCACCUCUGGCCUCAGGUGUACUGUACCUGAGAUAGUGGCCUAUGUGCACCUAAUUGAGUGUCAGCCAUGUUGAAUGUGUGUGUUUCCAAGAGGAGAAAACCAGUUGGUAGCAAAGGCAGGAAGGAAGUGUCCUGUCCAGCUAAACAGAAGAGGAAUAUAAACAUAAUGAAGGGCACAGUUUGAAUCAGUCCUAUUCCAUUCAAUAAAGUGGUGACAGAUCCAGGAUUAUUCCUAGACAUCAGCCGUGUGAUCCACAUGUGGAUUGAAGUGUGUAUUUGUGAAAAUGUUGGACUGUUCCUUUGUCAGUGUCCAACAGUAUUUUGGACGCAUCUUUUAACAGGUACGAGAAUCCAUGAACACAUAACUCCAAUUUUAGCCAAACUACAUCAGCUCCCUGUUAAAUAUCUCAUAGAUUUUAAAAUUCUUUUCUUCACUUUUAAAAUUCUGAAUAAUUUACCGCCCAGCUAUCUUUCUGAACUACUCCAUUUAUACAAUCCCAACAGAGUACUUAGAUCGUCCAAUCACAGGUUCCUAGCACAACCUAGGUCUCGAAUGAAGACCUUUGCAUCCGUGGCAACUAGACUCUGGAAUAACCUCCCUGUUCAUAUUCGUACUGCCGAGUCUAUCCAGUCUUUUAAAUCAUGUCUUAAAACUUAUUUUUUUACUUUGGCUUUCGAUUCUGACUAGUUGGCUGGUCUAGCUUGUUGUGUUGUUACGUAUUGUUUGUUGUCCCCUUUUAUUGUUUGUUUUAAUUGUCUCUGUUUUUACUGACUGUGAAGCACUAUGGUCAACACUGUUGUUUUAUUUUGUGCUUUAUAAAUAAAUUUUGAUUUGAUUUGAACAGUAUGUGUAUGAGAGCCAUGUAAUGUCCAUGUGUGCAUGCUGACUGUGCUGCUCUGACCCCCCUCCUCCUUUCAGGGUGGAGCCUGCUGGAGUCCGAUGGUUGAGACCAGGUCUGAGGAAGUAUUCCUGUCAACUCACAAUCGACACAAACACAGUGAACACAAAGCUCCAACUGUCUGACAACAACAGGAAGGUGACACGAUGUGGAGGAGGUUCAGUCAUAUCCUGAUCAUCCAGACAGAUUUGAUGUUUAUCCUCAGCUGCUGUGUAGAAAUGGUCUGACUGGUCGCUGUUACUGGGAGGUCGAGUGGAGAGGAAACGUUUUUAUAUCAGUGAGUUACAGAAGCAUCAGAAAGAAAGGAGGCAGUGAUGACUGUGUGUUUGGA
This is a long non-coding RNA of Haplochromis burtoni (Burton's mouthbrooder), 1344 nucleotides long. RefSeq lists it as uncharacterized. The record is from RefSeq and is a predicted model, not a curated record. The transcript has 2 exons. Lineage: Eukaryota; Metazoa; Chordata; Actinopteri; Cichliformes; Cichlidae.